Molecule: ribosomal RNA, 237 nt
Filed under: uncultured Staphylococcus sp.
Lineage: Bacteria; Bacillati; Bacillota; Bacilli; Caryophanales; Staphylococcaceae
Description: partial 16S ribosomal RNA
Rfam family: Bacterial small subunit ribosomal RNA
Source: RNAcentral
CGGGUGAGUAACACGUGGAUAACCUACCUAUAAGACUGGGAUAACUUCGGGAAACCGGAGCUAAUACCGGAUAAUAUAUUGAACCGCAUGGUUCAAUAGUGAAAGACGGUUUUGCUGUCACUUAUAGAUGGAUCCGCGCCGCAUUAGCUAGUUGGUAGGGUAACGGCUUACCAAGGCGACGAUGCGUAGCCGAUCUGAGAGGGUGAUCGGCCACACUGGAACUGAGACACGGUCCAG